This 1126-nucleotide ribosomal RNA is filed under the name Klebsiella pneumoniae. RNAcentral describes it as "bacterial SSU rRNA". It matches the Rfam family "Bacterial small subunit ribosomal RNA", at positions 8 to 1125 of the family's 1533-position model. The record is from RNAcentral. Lineage: Bacteria; Pseudomonadati; Pseudomonadota; Gammaproteobacteria; Enterobacterales; Enterobacteriaceae.
AGAGUUUGAUCAUGGCUCAGAUUGAACGCUGGCGGCAGGCCUAACACAUGCAAGUCGAGCGGUAGCACAGAGAGCUUGCUCUCGGGUGACGAGCGGCGGACGGGUGAGUAAUGUCUGGGAAACUGCCUGAUGGAGGGGGAUAACUACUGGAAACGGUAGCUAAUACCGCAUAACGUCGCAAGACCAAAGUGGGGGACCUUCGGGCCUCAUGCCAUCAGAUGUGCCCAGAUGGGAUUAGCUAGUAGGUGGGGUAACGGCUCACCUAGGCGACGAUCCCUAGCUGGUCUGAGAGGAUGACCAGCCACACUGGAACUGAGACACGGUCCAGACUCCUACGGGAGGCAGCAGUGGGGAAUAUUGCACAAUGGGCGCAAGCCUGAUGCAGCCAUGCCGCGUGUGUGAAGAAGGCCUUCGGGUUGUAAAGCACUUUCAGCGGGGAGGAAGGCGGUGAGGUUAAUAACCUCAGCGAUUGACGUUACCCGCAGAAGAAGCACCGGCUAACUCCGUGCCAGCAGCCGCGGUAAUACGGAGGGUGCAAGCGUUAAUCGGAAUUACUGGGCGUAAAGCGCACGCAGGCGGUCUGUCAAGUCGGAUGUGAAAUCCCCGGGCUCAACCUGGGAACUGCAUUCGAAACUGGCAGGCUAGAGUCUUGUAGAGGGGGGUAGAAUUCCAGGUGUAGCGGUGAAAUGCGUAGAGAUCUGGAGGAAUACCGGUGGCGAAGGCGGCCCCCUGGACAAAGACUGACGCUCAGGUGCGAAAGCGUGGGGAGCAAACAGGAUUAGAUACCCUGGUAGUCCACGCCGUAAACGAUGUCGAUUUGGAGGUUGUGCCCUUGAGGCGUGGCUUCCGGAGCUAACGCGUUAAAUCGACCGCCUGGGGAGUACGGCCGCAAGGUUAAAACUCAAAUGAAUUGACGGGGGCCCGCACAAGCGGUGGAGCAUGUGGUUUAAUUCGAUGCAACGCGAAGAACCUUACCUGGUCUUGACAUCCACAGAACUUUCCAGAGAUGGAUUGGUGCCUUCGGGAACUGUGAGACAGGUGCUGCAUGGCUGUCGUCAGCUCGUGUUGUGAAAUGUUGGGUUAAGUCCCGCAACGAGCGCAACCCUUAUCCUUUGUUGCCAGCGGU